UUAAGUUCAGCGGGUAUUCCUACCUGAUCCGAGGUCAAACCGGAAAAAAAUGAAUAUGGUUUGACGGUCGGCCACCGAUCGGGUCACGGAGCGGUCUAGGGGUUGCCCAUACACUCAGGACAGCCGAGGGUCUCGGUGCCGCCACUGCCUUUCGGGCCCGUCCACGCACUCAAGGGGACGAUGGCCCAACACACACGCCG
This 200-nucleotide unclassified non-coding RNA is filed under the name Chrysosporium sp. RNAcentral's name for it is "partial internal transcribed spacer 2". Lineage: Eukaryota; Fungi; Ascomycota; Eurotiomycetes; Onygenales; Onygenaceae. The record is from RNAcentral.